UUGAUGUAGAGUAAACGCAUUUCUGCGACGAUUGAACGCAGGCUACCAUCAACUAUCUAAAUUUAGAGGAAAAUCAUGUCUCAUCCAUAAGUACAGGGAAUCAUUAUUGUGUGAGUCGAUUUCAAGAAUAAUGACUGUUCGGACAAUUGCAAGUUUAGAGAUCUACGCUUUCAUCGCAUUUAUGACAACAAUGAUCAUGGUGGUCACCACAGAGGAUGAUAUUCCUGUGGGUGAGGUACUCAUGGAUGACAGGCCUGUCAUUCUACGAGGAUAUGACGGUAUACUGCAAUGUCGAGUUAGAGGUGAACCAUUGGCUGUCUUCUGGGA
Molecule: long non-coding RNA, 327 nt
Organism: Lytechinus pictus (painted urchin)
Lineage: Eukaryota; Metazoa; Echinodermata; Echinoidea; Temnopleuroida; Toxopneustidae
Exons: 3
Source: RefSeq, a predicted model, not a curated record